AGAGUUUGAUCCUGGCUCAGGAUGAACGCUAGCUACAGGCUUAACACAUGCAAGUCGAGGGGCAGCAUCAUCAAAGCUUGCUUUGAUGGAUGGCGACCGGCGCACGGGUGAGUAACACGUAUCCAACCUGCCGACAACACUGGGAUAGCCUUUCGAAAGAAAGAUUAAUACCGGAUGGUAUAGUUUUCCCGCAUGGGAUGAUUAUUAAAGAAUUUCGGUUGUCGAUGGGGAUGCGUUCCAUUAGGCAGUUGGCGGGUAACGGCCCACAAACCUACGAUGGAUAGGGGUUCUGAGAGGAAGGUCCCCCACAUUGGAACUGAGACACGGUCCAAAUCCAACGGGAGCA
This 346-nucleotide ribosomal RNA is filed under the name uncultured bacterium. RNAcentral's name for it is "bacterial SSU rRNA". It matches the Rfam family "Bacterial small subunit ribosomal RNA", at positions 8 to 350 of the family's 1533-position model. The record is from RNAcentral.